GGAGAGCUGGCCGAGUGGUUGAAGGCGGCGGUCUUGAAAACCGUUAGGGCGUAAGCCCUCGGGGGUUCGAAUCCCUCGCUCUCCGCCA
RNAcentral lists this transfer RNA (88 nucleotides) under Alkalilimnicola ehrlichii. Its description in RNAcentral is "tRNA-Ser". It matches the Rfam family "tRNA". Rfam says of the family: Transfer RNA (tRNA) molecules are approximately 80 nucleotides in length. Their secondary structure includes four short double-helical elements and three loops (D, anti-codon, and T loops). Lineage: Bacteria; Pseudomonadati; Pseudomonadota; Gammaproteobacteria; Chromatiales; Ectothiorhodospiraceae. The record is from RNAcentral.